Neofelis nebulosa (Clouded leopard) is the source of this 477-nucleotide non-coding RNA. The record is from the annotation of a RefSeq genome assembly. NCBI's taxonomy places the organism in Eukaryota, Metazoa, Chordata, Mammalia, Carnivora, Felidae.
CAGCACAAUCCGGCAGGCUUCUUCCUGCUCCUCAGGGGAAAUCUUCCAGAACACAGCCGUCAGCUUCCUCACCGCCUAGCUAUGUGCUCAGUGACCAUCCUGCUGUUUGGAAUGCUCUUCACAGUGAGAGGAACGGGAGCCCAGUCAGUGACUCAGCCUGAUGCCCAGGUGUUGGUCUCUGAAGGAGCCCGUCUGGAGCUGAAGUGCAACUAUUCCUCUAGUGCAACGACUUAUGUCUUCUGGUACGUGCAGUACCCCAACCAAGGACUCCAGCUUCUCCUCAAGUACAUAUCAGGGGACACCCUGGUUAAAGGCCUCAACGGUUUCGAGGCUGAGUUUAAGAAGAGUGAAACCUCUUUCCACCUGAGGAAAUCCCCAGCCCUUGGUAGUGAUGCAGCCAAGUACUUCUGCUCUGUGAGCGACACGGUGCCUGGGUCCGCAGGGGGAGCUGAACACAAACCUUGGGACUUUUCAUGA